RNAcentral lists this ribosomal RNA (538 nucleotides) under Hyaloscypha sp. GK-2010. Its description in RNAcentral is "eukaryotic LSU rRNA". The stretch from base 195 to 348 matches the Rfam family "5.8S ribosomal RNA". The record is from RNAcentral. Lineage: Eukaryota; Fungi; Ascomycota; Leotiomycetes; Helotiales; Hyaloscyphaceae.
UCCGUAGGUGAACCUGCGGAAGGAUCAUUAAAGAAACGCCCCGUUUUUUGAAAUGGGUUCUAUUCCCAAACCGUGUAUACAUAUCUUUGUUGCUUUGGCGGGCCGCCUUCGGGCGUUGGCUCCGGCUGAUUGCGCCCGCCAGAGGACCCAAACUCGUUUGUUUAGUGAUGUCUGAGUACCAUAUAAUAGUUUAAAACUUUCAACAACGGAUCUCUUGGUUCUGGCAUCGAUGAAGAACGCAGCGAAAUGCGAUAAGUAAUGUGAAUUGCAGAAUUCAGUGAAUCAUCGAAUCUUUGAACGCACAUUGCGCCCUUUGGUAUUCCGAGGGGCAUGCCUGUUCGAGCGUCAUUAUAACCACUCAAGCCUUGGCUUGGUAUUGGGGUUCGCGGUUUCGCGGCUCUUAAAAUCAGUGGCGGUGCCGUCUGGCUCUAAGCGUAGUAAUUUUUCUCGCUAUAGGGUCCCGGUGGUGGCUUGCCAAAACCCCCCUUAUUUUCCUACGGUUGACCUCGGAUCAGGUAGGGAUACCCGCUGAACUUAA